AGAAAAGAAGGGUCAGAUUAGAGAAACGCCCGCAAAGCUUUCUUCUUCACUUCUUCUUCUAUUGCGGUUUCGUCCCGUCCCAUGUUUCUUCUUUUACCUCCGUUACUGUACGGUUCUUCGACUGUCGCCGUGCGUUCUUCUUUUAGUGUUGUCGUACUGUUCUUCUUCUUCUUUUGCUAUUGCCGACUACAGUACGUACUGCGUUCUUCUUCUUCUUUUACUGCGGAAAUGUGUUAUUCUUCUUUUGGUGCUGCGGAGUUUUCUUUUUCUUCUGUUGCGAUGCAGUAAUAUUAAUAGGAAGAAGAAAUCAGGGUUAUUGCUGUCGAAGAUCUGCAGGUGUGAUUUGUCCAAUAUUUCGUUUUUUAUUUUUUCGAAUCGUGAAAGAUCGAAGAUCCCACAAAUAACGCGAAAGAUCGCGAUUUUACUCCGAUCUUAUUCUGCCCCGAUUUUGCAUCUGAUUCAGCACGGAAUAUUUUUGCAAACCGUAAAAUUGAACGAUUUUACGAGUUGAUUCGCGAUUUUAACAACACUCGGUCCUCCGGUCUCGCCCUCAUGUACUUUCCCCUCUCUCUCUCGUUCUCCUUGUCGAUUCCUUCAUGGGACUCUUGACUCUUGAAUCAGUAUUCUUUAUUCUCGUUCGAGUCAUUUCCUUUGUUUACCUUUUGUAGCCAUCAUACUAAGGAGGAUUUCUUAUCCUCUAUAUUUGUUUCUUUCCUCUUAAUAAAUUCAUUUUACACAUACAACAAGAUUUGAUAACUUAAAUCAUAACUUGAUAUUUAAGUUAGUUUUGUUCACCUAAACUUUUAUUUUGAAAAAAAUAGGUGUACUAAUUUUGAUGGAUGAAGUACAAGAAAAGAAGACAUCUUGAUUUUGUGCAAAUGGAAAAUGAACCCAUUCUUGAUUGAAAUCUAGCUUUGAAAUCAAACGGUUCGAUGUGAAAUGACGUGAAAUGCUUGAAUGAAUUGGAAUAAUUUCAAUUCGAUGGAUUAGUAAUUCUAGUUGUUGUUAUUGUUAUUGUGAUUAUGAUUGUGAUGAUGUGUAUUUUAUGUUUUAUUUAUUUGUAUGUUGUUUGUGACUUGUGUGUGUUUGUGCCUUUGUUUUUGUAUGUUGUGUGUGCUUAUAUGUCUCUGCGUAUCUCUACGUGUGUGCAUAUCAAUGCCUUGUAUGUAUGUUUUGUGUAUGUGCGCUGUCUUCGUCUCUAUGUUUAUGCAAUUUGCUCAGUUUUUAUGUUUGUCUGUGUUACUUUGCAAGUGAUGUGUUUCUGCCGGUGUCUCUCCAUGUGUAUGCCCUGCCUUUAUCUUUGUAUCUGUGUUUGUCUUUACUUGUUUAUGUGUCAUUUAUGUGUUUGUAUGUCUCUUUGUUUGUGUCUAGGUUAUGUUUUUAUCUGUAAGUGUAUGUAUCUCUCUCACUCCCUCUGUGUGGGUGUGUUUGUGACUUUGUUAGUCUGUGUUAUGUCUAUAUUUGUUUAUUUAUGUUUGUAUGUGCUAUUUAUCUGUCUUUGUGUAUGUGUGCAUUGAUAUAUUUAACUUUAAAAAUGUAUUGAUGUUUAGGAAACUUACCAUUGCUGUGAGAUUACAAGUAAAUGAAAUUCAGGACCUCUUUUUUCCUUCUCAAUUUCAUUCAGUAUAUAUGGCCACACGAGCAUGAAAAGCUUUCACAAGUUGAGCUGUUGGUUGUUGAAGAAGCUGCUGCUAUUCCACUGCUGGUGGUAAGUCUUUGCUUGGCCCAUAUCUGAUCUUCUUGUCUUGACAAGAGUGUUCAUACAGGAACAAUAUCUACAUGAGAAUGCCUAUAUCAAAAGAAUAGGAAAAUAGAUUAUAAAACCGAACCCACAAACACGAAGCCGUUCCUUUUUCUCUUGCUGAUAAUCCCAACUCCCCACGAACCCAAAACUCCAGAGUCCAAAAUACAGUUUAGAACAAAAAGGGAACAAGUUGGAGAGUAGGGCAACAAGUCAUAGUGGAAAGAAGGCUUACGACUAAGCAAUGGUUGUUCAGAGAGACAUUUCGGUCGUGAUGCGGCUACAUUACUGUGGCAAUGCGGAAAAAUCCGUGAUUUUCAUUCGCACUGCAAUUGCGGCCUGUUGAUGUUGCGAGGAGGUCCGCAAUCGUAAUAUUACGACCACAAUACAUAAUGUAGACCACAAUUUGAAACACUGGUAAUAAUCUAAAGAAUGAAUGACCUGAAUAAACAUCGCACUUCAACAAUCUAUUUGUCAACAUCACUCAAUAAACACCAUGUAAAAGUUAGUUUUGACUACGAAUCAUCUUUUAACCAGUGUGUGUUCCUUGGUCCAUACUUUUGUAGGUGUAAAAAGGAAGUAAUAAUAUUAAGUUUUUUAAUUAAUUUUACU
Molecule: non-coding RNA, 2353 nt
Organism: Cajanus cajan (pigeon pea)
Lineage: Eukaryota; Viridiplantae; Streptophyta; Magnoliopsida; Fabales; Fabaceae
Source: RefSeq, a predicted model, not a curated record